This 360-nucleotide ribosomal RNA is filed under the name Thyrinula eucalyptina. RNAcentral's name for it is "partial 18S ribosomal RNA". Lineage: Eukaryota; Fungi; Ascomycota; Dothideomycetes; Asterinales; Asterinaceae. The record is from RNAcentral.
UCUGCACCGAGGGAGGCGCCCGCGACUCUAAACAACGGGUGCCGUGUCAGCUAGUCCCUGCCGGUGCCCUCUACGCACCGACCCGGGCAACAUCGUCAAACUGCGGGAAAGCCCUGCCACGACUCUCGGGACCUCACCGCCCCAGCAAUGGAAGCGGGUGCCUGCGGCCAACGGCCGCGGGUACGGUAAAGCACCGAAGUCUAGGGGCGAUCCGCCGCCAAACCCUCCCCGCACCGGGAGGGCCCAGCUCACAGGCCAGACGGCGAUGGGCGCUCUCGCGCUUAAGAUAUGGUCGAGUGACCCGCCGAGAGGCGGGUGCAACUCAGGAACGUCCGUAGGUGAACCUGCGGAAGGAUCAUU